This 61-nucleotide transfer RNA is filed under the name Succinea putris (European ambersnail). RNAcentral's name for it is "tRNA-Met". The record is from RNAcentral. Lineage: Eukaryota; Metazoa; Mollusca; Gastropoda; Stylommatophora; Succineidae.
UCUUUAAUAAGCUAAGUAAGCUGUUGGACUCAUAAUCCAAAAAUGAUAUAAUCUUAAAGAA